AACCGACACAGGUAGGCGAGCAGAGCAUGCUAAGGCGCGCGGAAUAACUCUCGUUAAGGAACUCGGCAACAUGACCCCGUAACUUCGGGAGAAGGGGUGCCUCGGUAGGGUGAAUAGCCCGAGGGGGCCGCAGUGAAAAGGCCCAAGCGACUGUUUAGCAAAAACACAGGUCUGUGCGAAGCCGUAAGGCGAAGUAUACGGGCUGACGCCUGCCCGGUGCUGGAAGGUUAAGGGGAGCGGUUAGGAGCAAUCCGAAGCUGUGAACCGAAGCCCCAGUAAACGGCGGCCGUAACUAUAACGGUCCUAAG
This 308-nucleotide ribosomal RNA is filed under the name Bacillus coniferum. RNAcentral describes it as "bacterial LSU rRNA". It matches the Rfam family "Bacterial large subunit ribosomal RNA", at positions 1652 to 1955 of the family's 2925-position model. Lineage: Bacteria; Bacillati; Bacillota; Bacilli; Caryophanales; Bacillaceae. The record is from RNAcentral.